RNAcentral lists this ribosomal RNA (532 nucleotides) under Escherichia coli 3-020-07_S4_C2. Its description in RNAcentral is "partial 16S ribosomal RNA". The record is from RNAcentral. Lineage: Bacteria; Pseudomonadati; Pseudomonadota; Gammaproteobacteria; Enterobacterales; Enterobacteriaceae.
UUCGUAAAGUAAAUGGACUGACCCAAAAGGAUAUUGCAGAGAGGCUUGGCGUAACACAGCAAACCUAUGCGCGAUUGGAGGCGAACCCAGGUAGCGCCAGUAUUGAGCGGUUGUUCAAAGUGUUUACUGUGUUGGGCGUUGAAAUAGAACUUUCUUCUUCAUUGGCUUCAUCAGCCAUAAAUUCAUAUAAGUUAACUGAUAAAUAUAGAGAUUCUCUAGCCAGACGAGAAAAGUGGUGAUGAUGUCUAUGUGAUAGUCUAUGGUGAAAACCUUAGAACAUGUCGAUAAAAUUCAUUUUUUUAAACGUGUUGCCGGAAUAUGCUUAUGGCAUCGACACGUUCUUACUAUGUGUCGAUGAAAUUCGCUUUUUUAAACAUGUCUUCUGGAUAUGUUUACCGCAUCGACACAUUCCAGCCAUAUGUCGAUAAAGCCUUAUUUUUUAAACAUGUUGCCGGGAUAUGCUUAUGGCAUCGACACUUUCUGGCUAUGUGUCGAUAGAAUUCGCUUUUUUAAACAUAUUGUCGAGAUAUGC